CACUAGCUUCGCCGCGACGGUUCCUUCGGGAUCAAAAGGGAAUGCGGUGAGGGCUUCGGCCCGAUGCCGCGGCUGUCCCCGCAACUGUGAGCGGCGAGUCCUUCGUCAUUUGGCCACUGGGCUCUCGGGCCUGGGAAGGCGGCGAAGGCGCGACGACCCGCAAGCCAGGAGACCUGCCGUCAGUCGUGGUCACAC
Molecule: non-coding RNA, 195 nt
Filed under: Inquilinus limosus
Lineage: Bacteria; Pseudomonadati; Pseudomonadota; Alphaproteobacteria; Rhodospirillales; Rhodospirillaceae
Source: RNAcentral